GAAUAGAAGCGUCAGAACUCCUAUCCUCCCAGGCCAGAGGGCACUUUCUAUCUUCCGGGGUGCCGCCGUCUCACCAUUCAGCGGUGGAUCGAG
Actinoplanes awajinensis subsp. mycoplanecinus is the source of this 93-nucleotide small RNA. It matches the Rfam family "Actinobacteria sRNA Ms_IGR-7", at positions 25 to 118 of the family's 118-position model. The record is from Rfam. NCBI's taxonomy places the organism in Bacteria, Bacillati, Actinomycetota, Actinomycetes, Micromonosporales, Micromonosporaceae.